GUGCAAGCGUUAAUCGGAAUUACUGGGCGUAAAGCGCACGCAGGCGGUCUGUCAAGUCGGAUGUGAAAUCCCCGGGCUCAACCUGGGAACUGCAUUCGAAACUGGCAGGCUUGAGUCUUGUAGAGGGGGGUAGAAUUCCAGGUGUAGCGGUGAAAUGCGUAGAGAUCUGGAGGAAUACCGGUGGCGAAGGCGGCCCCCUGGACAAAGACUGACGCUCAGGUGCGAAAGCGUGGGGAGCAAACAGGAUUAGAUACCCUGGUAGUCCACGCCGUAAACGAUGUCUACUUGGAGGUUGUGCCCUUGAGGCGUGGCUUCCGGAGCUAACGCGUUAAGUAGACCGCCUGGGGAGUACGGCCGCAAGGUUAAAACUCAAAUGAAUUGACGGGGGCCCGCACAAGCGGUGGAGCAUGUGGUUUAAUUCGAUGCAACGCGAAGAACCUUAC
RNAcentral lists this ribosomal RNA (443 nucleotides) under Salmonella enterica subsp. enterica serovar Hadar. RNAcentral's name for it is "bacterial SSU rRNA". It matches the Rfam family "Bacterial small subunit ribosomal RNA", at positions 532 to 974 of the family's 1533-position model. Lineage: Bacteria; Pseudomonadati; Pseudomonadota; Gammaproteobacteria; Enterobacterales; Enterobacteriaceae. The record is from RNAcentral.